This is a non-coding RNA of Bactrocera oleae (olive fruit fly), 388 nucleotides long. Lineage: Eukaryota; Metazoa; Arthropoda; Insecta; Diptera; Tephritidae. The record is from RefSeq and is a predicted model, not a curated record.
UGUUUCUCAACCAAAAUAUUCCGAAAAGUCAUUUGAUGUUAACACCAGCAUAUUAUCCGAAGACGUAUCAGAUACUCCAGAGACAUCGGCUCCAUCUACUAAGAAUGACCGCACCUGCCGCGAAAACAAAUAAUCCGGAUAACAACGCGUUGCAGCACACUGUUUUACAAAGUCAAAUGGAACUUUUAAAUAUGCAGAAGAGGAUCUAAUUGCACAAGAGCAACGCCAACAAGUAGAGCAUGAUAGAAAAAUGCAGUUGUACGAAAUAACGGCUAAAGUUUUGGAACCAAAAUUGUUGUCGUUUAAUAAAUAAAAUUAAUUAAUUGAGGUAUACAUUAAUAACAGUUACUUUCUAUUAUGCAAUAAAAUAUAAUUUUAUUUAAUACAA